UACGGUAUCAUUGGAGUACACAUGCGUGUCCACUGGGACCAGUGUGUCGGGGCAACCCGCUGAACCCCCUUCACGCCGGGGAUGGGAGUUUGAAAUUAUUCAUCCGUGAACCAGGAAUGCCCAGUAAGCGCAAGUCAUAAGCUUGCGUUGAUUACGUCCCUGCCCUUUGUACACACCGCAACA
Molecule: ribosomal RNA, 183 nt
Filed under: uncultured eukaryote
Lineage: Eukaryota
Description: partial 18S ribosomal RNA
Rfam family: Eukaryotic small subunit ribosomal RNA
Source: RNAcentral